Long non-coding RNA from Anguilla anguilla (European eel), 1301 nucleotides. RefSeq lists it as uncharacterized. The transcript has 3 exons. The record is from RefSeq and is a predicted model, not a curated record. Lineage: Eukaryota; Metazoa; Chordata; Actinopteri; Anguilliformes; Anguillidae.
ACACAGCCCCAAAACACUGUAGCAGAGCACGUAGCGCUGAAUGACGAAACGGGAAUGACGUGUUGAACGCGGACCGCUUUGUUCCCAGGAAAAACACAAACAUGACGAUGCCUUCGUUUAACCUUAUUCGGGAAAAGGGCUGCAAAGUGUGCCUAUGUGCAACUUAAAUUAUUGGCUACGACACAAUUUGACAUGGAGAAACACCGUGCAUCCCAAAAUACAGUACGGUACCAAAUUUAGAAUAGAGGAAACCCAUUCCCCUUAGUUUGUUUGUUACGUUCUUGUUGAAAGAAGCACGGAACCGUCCAGACCCACGGCGCAACUCACUUUUUAGCUGGCACCACCUGCACAUGCGUCCUACUAAACGAAGCACCACCUGCGCAUGAGUCCCACAAAACGUCCCUCAAAGGUCGCCCGUGAUUGCAUACACAGAACUUUUAAACCAGCAGCAAAGAUUACACAACCAUUGGCCUACAGACCACAUCACAUGAUCCAGUUCCUGCAUUGAAGUAAAAAUAAUGCCCAGUCAAGCUGCCACAACUGGGUGAUUUUAUGGGCAAUAUAGAGUCUUGGAGAACCUCUGCUGAUUUAUGGGAAAAACAGGAGCACUUUUGAAAUGCCUGCAGUCAGCUACUGCCUCUUUUCACUGUGCAGUUCAUUGGCUGUGCAGCGCAGUCAUUGCCCUGGAGGACCGCACCAGUUGCACAGCUGGCACAGGUAGACUGCAGGUGCCCAACCAACUGAGACACACUUUUGCUAAAUGAGGAUAGGAUGCUCUGCCAAGCAAAACCUUCCUUCCCUGGGUAACACUAUGACCGAUUAUGCGUCGCACUGUGUGGCUACCAGCUAUUCCACCUCAGGCAUGAUCAAGACUUAAUACGAUCCAAAAUGUGAAAGGCUUAAAAUUAAAGUGAGUGAAUGAAGAGGUCUGCAUUGACCACAUUCUGCUUUUUUGUGCUUUGUCACGUGUGAGAUCAUCUAGAUUUUAAAAAAAAUCUAAAUGAGCGAUAUGGAAAUGUUAUUUAACGAUUAAAUGGGAUAACUGGUUGAUAGGCCUCUUCUGAGAAAAAAAGACUGAUAUUGAAAGCACCCACUUAAGUGGCGCCUUGACAGUAAUAGUUAAGGUCUAAUGUCUAGACUCGUUAUACUGUGUAGCCUAUAGGAGGGUUCUUAUACGCCAUAAAACGGAUAUUGUUUUGAUUUAGCAUGUUACAUAACUGUACCUGUGCCGUGUCCUGAACUCUCCUACAAUAAAGAAUGAAAUUCUUUCGAGCAUUAAAAGAGGAUUCCGUCAAAGCCUA